This 98-nucleotide non-coding RNA is filed under the name uncultured Anaerobutyricum sp. RNAcentral's name for it is "Glycine riboswitch". It matches the Rfam family "Glycine riboswitch aptamer", at positions 7 to 88 of the family's 94-position model. Rfam says of the family: This family represents the bacterial glycine riboswitch. Glycine riboswitches usually consist of two metabolite-binding aptamers domains with similar structures in tandem. Lineage: Bacteria; Bacillati; Bacillota; Clostridia; Lachnospirales; Lachnospiraceae. The record is from RNAcentral.
AUUACUCUGGAGAGUCUUUACUGCGGAUGCAGUGAAGCGCCGAAGGUGUACGACGGAGAAAGCACUCCGUUAAUCUCUCAGGCAAAAGGACAGAAUAU